UUGGUCAUUUAGAGGAAGUAAAAGUCGUAACAAGGUUUCCGUAGGUGAACCUGCGGAAGGAUCAUUAAUGAAACUUCAAAGUCGGCCAAAGGUUGUUGCUGGUGAUUAUUCACAUGUGCACGCCUUUGGUCGCAAAUCCACACACACCUGUGCAUCUAUGACUCGAGGUUGUAAUGACUGAGAGUAACUUUUAUACACUCUUGUAUGUAAUGGAAUGUCUUUUUGUGCUAUAAUGUACAAUAUAAACAACUUUCAACAACGGAUCUCUUGGCUCUCGCAUCGAUGAAGAACGCAGCGAAAUGCGAUAAGUAAUGUGAAUUGCAGAAUUCAGUGAAUCAUCGAAUCUUUGAACGCACCUUGCACCCUUUGGUAUUCCGAAGGGUACGCCCGUUUGAGUGUCAUUGUAAUCUCACUUCUACAACUUUAUUGUUGUUUGAAUGUGGACUUGGAUGUUGCCGUUUUAUCACGGCUCGUCUUAAAUGCCUGAGUGUACCCUGUUUUGCAGCGUAUCCAGUGUAAUAAACAUUUCACUAGAGUUGGUCGAAAGACCACGUUGACUAUAUGGGCUCUAUGCUUCAAACCGUCUGCCAUGUGGACAAUUUCUUGACAAUUUGACCUCAAAUCGGGUGGGACUACCCGCUGAACUUAAGCAUAUCAAUAAGCGGAGGAAAAGAAACUAACAAGGAUUCCCCUAGUAACGGCGAGUGAAGAGGGAAAAGCUCAAAUUUUAAAUCUGGUGUCUUUGACUCCCGAGUUGUAAUCUAGAGAAGUGUUUUCCGUGUCGGACCGUGUACAAGUUCCCUGGAACGGGGCGUCAUAGAGGGUGAGAAUCCCGUAUAUGCCACGGACUACCGAUGCUCUGUGAUACACUCUCAACGAGUCGAGUUGUUUGGGAAUGCAGCUCAAAAUGGGUGGUAAAUUCCAUCUAAAGCUAAAUAUUGGCGAGAGACCGAUAGCGAACAAGUACCGUGAGGGAAAGAUGAAAAGCACUUUGGAAAGAGAGUGAAACAGUACGUGAAAUUGUUGAAAGGGAAGCGUUUGAAGUCAGUCGCAUCUGUUGGGGUUCAGCCUGGCUUUUGCCUGGUGUAUUUCCUUUCCGAUGGGUCAGCAUCAGUUUCGACCGAGGGAAAAAGACAUUUGGAAUGUGGCUGUCUUCGGGCAGUGUUAUAGCCUUGUGUUGUAUGUCUCGGUUGGGACUGAGGAUUGCAGCGCGCCAUAAAUGGCCGGGGGUCGCUCCUCUCGACACGCGCUUAGGAUGCUGGCAUAAUGGCUUUAAGCGACCCGUCUUG
RNAcentral lists this ribosomal RNA (1289 nucleotides) under uncultured Sebacina. RNAcentral's name for it is "eukaryotic LSU rRNA". The stretch from base 613 to 1289 matches the Rfam family "Eukaryotic large subunit ribosomal RNA", at positions 1 to 656 of the family's 3401-position model. Lineage: Eukaryota; Fungi; Basidiomycota; Agaricomycetes; Sebacinales; Sebacinaceae. The record is from RNAcentral.